This 474-nucleotide long non-coding RNA is filed under the name Equus caballus (horse). RNAcentral's name for it is "lncRNA (ENSECAG00000030051.3)". The record is from RNAcentral. Lineage: Eukaryota; Metazoa; Chordata; Mammalia; Perissodactyla; Equidae.
CAGACUCAUACAAGAUAAACUUGAUUAACCUAAAGUCAACUGAUUACAGAGCUUAAUGACAUCAACAGAGAUCCCUCACAUUUGCCGUGCAGCUGAACAGAAACACAGAGCUUAUAUUCCCAAGAUGUGCCAUAUUCUACUGGUUAGAAGCAAGUUUCAGGCCUGCCUGCACUCAAGGGAGAAGAUUAUACAAGGUGGCCGCCAGUGCCUAUGGGUCAGCUCCAAGGCAGAAAGUGAAGAGGAAUUAAAUCUACAUAGGAUAUGAUUAAAGAAAGCAGAAAAUUAUCUUCCAAGGAAUCAUAUCUGCAAAAUAACAAGAGGAAAUCACAAUAACACCUGGAUAUGGCACCCUAACAAUCAAGACCUUCGCUGUCACUUUAGCUCCUGUGAGCAGAGCCCCCCGGCCGUGCUGCGUCCGCCGCUGCGUCCUGUGCGCCCACCCUUCGUGAAGGAGAAACCUCUGCUGAUGGGAAG